RNAcentral lists this small RNA (17 nucleotides) under Arabidopsis thaliana (thale cress). Its description in RNAcentral is "ATSL136650". The record is from RNAcentral. Lineage: Eukaryota; Viridiplantae; Streptophyta; Magnoliopsida; Brassicales; Brassicaceae.
AUAAGAAGAAGAAAAAA